Non-coding RNA from Theobroma cacao (cacao), 161 nucleotides. The record is from RefSeq and is a predicted model, not a curated record. NCBI's taxonomy places the organism in Eukaryota, Viridiplantae, Streptophyta, Magnoliopsida, Malvales, Malvaceae.
CAAAGAGAAAGUGUUGGAAUUCAAGGAUUUGAUCAAGUAAAGGUGGUGAGCAAAUUACACUAGUAAAAAUACAUAGAUUGUACUUGAAGACUGGGAUUAGGAGUACAUCGACUCUUAGAACUGCUCAGGAAAUUCCAUAGUUAGCUGACUUUGACAAGAAC